RNAcentral lists this ribosomal RNA (315 nucleotides) under uncultured bacterium. Its description in RNAcentral is "bacterial SSU rRNA". It matches the Rfam family "Bacterial small subunit ribosomal RNA", at positions 29 to 372 of the family's 1533-position model. The record is from RNAcentral.
AACGAACGCUGGCGGCAUGCCUAACACAUGCAAGUCGAACGAGACCUUCGGGUCUAGUGGCGCACGGGUGCGUAACGCGUGGGAAUCUGCCCUUUGCUUCGGAAUAACAGUUAGAAAUGACUGCUAAUACCGGAUGAUGUCUUCGGACCAAAGAUUUAUCGGCAAAGGAUGAGCCCGCGUAGGAUUAGGUAGUUGGUGGGGUAAAGGCCUACCAAGCGACGAUCCUUAGCUGGUCUGAGAGGAUGAUCAGCCACACUGGGACUGAGACACGGCCCAAACUCCUACGGGAGGCAGCAGUGGGGAAUAUUGGACAAU